AUUGAACGCUGGCGGAAUGCUUUACACAUGCAAGUCGAACGGCAGCACGGGGGCAACCCUGGUGGCGAGUGGCGAACGGGUGAGUAAUAUAUCGGAACGUGCCCAGUCGUGGGGGAUAACGUAGCGAAAGUUACGCUAAUACCGCAUACGAUCUACGGAUGAAAGCGGGGGAUCGCAAGACCUCGCGCGAUUGGAGCGGCCGAUAUCAGAUUAGGUGGUUGGUGGGGUAAAGGCUCACCAAGCCAACGAUCUGUGGCUGGUCUGAGGGGACGACCAGCCACACUGGGACUGAGACACGGCCCAGACUCCUACGGGAGGCAGCAGUGGGGAAUUUUGGACAAUGGGCGCAAGCCUGAUCCAGCCAUUCCGCGUGCAGGACGAAGGCCUUCGGGUUGUAAACUGCUUUUGUACGGAACGAAAAAGCCUUGGCUAACACCCAGGGUCCAUGACGGUACCGUAAGAAUAAGCACCGGCUAACUACGUGCCAGCAGCCGCGGUAA
This 500-nucleotide ribosomal RNA is filed under the name uncultured bacterium. RNAcentral's name for it is "partial 16S ribosomal RNA". It matches the Rfam family "Bacterial small subunit ribosomal RNA", at positions 30 to 523 of the family's 1533-position model. The record is from RNAcentral.